Molecule: ribosomal RNA, 253 nt
Filed under: uncultured bacterium
Lineage: Bacteria
Description: partial 16S ribosomal RNA
Rfam family: Bacterial small subunit ribosomal RNA
Source: RNAcentral
UACGGAGGGGGCUAGCGUUGUUCGGAAUUACUGGGCGUAAAGCGCACGUAGGCGGCUUUGCAAGUUAGAGGUGAAAGCCCGGGGCUCAACUCCGGAAUUGCCUUUAAAACUGCAUCGCUAGAAUUGUGGAGAGGUAAGUGGAAUUCAGAGUGUAGAGGUGAAAUUCGUAGAUAUUCGGAAGAACACCAGUGGCGAAGGCGACUUACUGGACACAUAUUGACGCUGAGGUGCGAAAGCGUGGGGAGCAAACAGG